This 221-nucleotide ribosomal RNA is filed under the name Escherichia coli O10:K5(L):H4 str. ATCC 23506. Its description in RNAcentral is "Small Subunit Ribosomal RNA; ssuRNA; SSU rRNA". It matches the Rfam family "Bacterial small subunit ribosomal RNA", at positions 900 to 1120 of the family's 1533-position model. The record is from RNAcentral. Lineage: Bacteria; Pseudomonadati; Pseudomonadota; Gammaproteobacteria; Enterobacterales; Enterobacteriaceae. RNAcentral also lists the same sequence under 1 other name.
CUCAAAUGAAUUGACGGGGGCCCGCACAAGCGGUGGAGCAUGUGGUUUAAUUCGAUGCAACGCGAAGAACCUUACCUGGUCUUGACAUCCACAGAACUUUCCAGAGAUGGAUUGGUGCCUUCGGGAACUGUGAGACAGGUGCUGCAUGGCUGUCGUCAGCUCGUGUUGUGAAAUGUUGGGUUAAGUCCCGCAACGAGCGCAACCCUUAUCCUUUGUUGCCA